GUAGCGAGGAAUAAAUUUCAAGGGGAAAGAGGGCCGUUUUCUCUUGCACAGGAUAAGCAAAUGGCACCGCACGAUCUCCGCCGUCCGUUCAAGAGAGCGGCGAUCUCCGAUCAGCAGAGACGGAGGGAUCUGACGCUGCAGCGACAAGCUCAGGGCCGCCGCGAUGCUCAACAACAAGCUCGGUGCUUGGCCUCCACUGUCCUCUCUCUCCUAUCCCAAAGCACACAACCCGAAUAUGAGCCGGACAUCGAACUCGAACCCGAAUCGCUACCCGAUUUACUGCCUGAACAAGAAGAAUCCGGAGCUUCGUCAAAGGAUCUCGACGUCCGUCAUGCGUCGAAGCUCAAAGGAGCGGAGGCUCGCAAGUGGUUCGCUAGGCAGCUAAUGCUUCCGGAGUGGAUGAUCGACGUCCCUGAUUACUUGGCCCGAGAUUGGUAUGUAUUUGCAAGGCCAGCUGGAAAACGAUGCUUUGUUGUUUCUUCUAAUGGAACCACAGUUAGUAGGCAAAGGAAUGGCUCCAUCUUGCAUCGUUUCCCAUCUGCUUUACCAAAUGGGGCUAAGACUAGAGAUGUAUCGGGGCCUUCUCAAUCUUACUCUAUUCUGGACUGCAUAUUCCAUGAGCCGGACCAAACUUACUAUGUGAUAGACAUGGUUUGCUGGCGCGGUUACUCUCUUUAUGACUGCACCGCUGAGUUCAGGUUUUUUUGGUUGAACUCGAAGCUUGGAGAGACUGGGGCUUGUAGUCCUCCUUCUUUUUACCAUAAAUACAGAUUCAGUACAGUUCCCAUUUAUAAUUGUGACCAGAGUGGUCUAUCGUCUGCGUAUACAGGAGCAUUGCCUUAUGUUAAGGAUGGUUUAUUGUUCUAUAACAAGCAUGCACACUAUCAAACAGGAAAUACACCACUAGCAUUAGUCUGGAAAGAUGAGAACUGUAGUCAGUAUGUUAUUGACACAGAUAGUAAAGGGCAGGUUCCAAGCCAACAACAGGUAGUUUUGGAGCUACAAGAUGAUGGAAAAUUGAUUACAUCUGAUGAUCCUCCUGUGGUUUUUGGCUGCUUGGAUUUGGAUUUUAUUCAAAAGACAGGGCUGCAUUCAGGAAAUCUUUUACGUUUUGCUAUUAGUGAUGGAGGGUUGAGUUUUGUGGAUGGAAAGCUUGAGAAGGUGGAUUUACACUAUCUUGGCAAAGUCAAUUGGGCACG
RNAcentral lists this unclassified non-coding RNA (1199 nucleotides) under Hevea brasiliensis (rubber tree). The record is from RNAcentral. Lineage: Eukaryota; Viridiplantae; Streptophyta; Magnoliopsida; Malpighiales; Euphorbiaceae.